Symphalangus syndactylus (siamang) is the source of this 4057-nucleotide long non-coding RNA. RefSeq lists it as uncharacterized. The record is from RefSeq and is a predicted model, not a curated record. Lineage: Eukaryota; Metazoa; Chordata; Mammalia; Primates; Hylobatidae.
GUGUGUGUGUGUUUUUUUUUUUUUACAGUUUUAUUUAAACACAAAACAUGCACAUGAGCUGCCUACUCAUUUUCUUCACUGCACAGCCUGGCAUUGGGGUUGGUGACUCUGAUGGCCAGCUGGGUGGCCCUUUCCAUGAUGGCUUUGUGGUUCAAUUAAAUGUAGCCUCAUCUUAAUCAAUAAUAUCAAUGAAAUCACAUAUUUGAUGUGAUGGUUAUUUUUUUUUUCCUAAUAGACUUUAAAAUAAAUAUUAACUAUGAAAACUUAAAAUGUUCAUCCAUGUAUCACAUAUAAGCUUGUAUCUCCCUAGUGGGACCUGCAUCACACAUUGAGAAAGACUGAUAGUUCAUUGGAUUCUAGGCUUGUUUUUUAGCAGUGGAAAUACUUUAGAGUUUUAAUGGACCUCAAUCUGUCCAAUAGAUAACUGCUCUGAAGAAAGCUGGCCAGGGCGGCUUGGAGGAAACAUUGUGAGCAGUCUCAGCACAGUAAGAUUUGUUGCACAUCAGCAGCACUUCCUGCUCCUUGACGUUGUGGACCAGGAACUUCUGGAAGCCGUUGGGCAGCAUAUGCUUUGUUUUUUUGUUGCUCCCAUAACCAAUGUUGGACAUCAAGAUCUAGAGCUUGAACCGUCUAUGAACCCUGUUGUCAGUACCUCUGGGUUUCCGCCAGUCGUGCUUAAUUUUGACAUAUCAGUCUGACUGGUGCCCGAUGAAUUUCUUGGUUCUCUUUUUGACUAUUUUGGGCUUCACAAGGGGUAUGAAGGCAGCCAUGAUGCUGAGGAGGAGAUGGCGGCCACCUCCAUAGGCAGUGCCAAGGAAGAGAGAACAUAUCUACUUCCCUAAUGUUGGACUUGAACUGGGUGUCCAUAGUUGAAGUGUGGCCUGCCACCAUGGUGGACAGACCUUGGGCAUCUGGGGCAGACAAACCUGGAUUUAAACUUGGCUUAACCAUCCGUCAUCUGUGGACAGGCAUUUCUUAUUUAAAUAAGCUUGAUUUUUUUUAUUUCUUAACAAGAAUUAUGCUUUUUUUCCCCCCACAGAAGUUUUUUUUUUUUUUUUUUUGAGACGGAGUCUCACUCUGUUGCCCAGGCUGGAGGACAGUGGUGUGAUCUCGUCUCACUACAAGCUCCACCUCCCAGGUUCAUGCCAUUUUCCUGCCUCAGCCUCCUGAGUAGCUGGGACUACAGGUGCCCACCACCAUGCUCAGCUAAUUUUUUUGUAUUUUUAGUAGAGAUGGGGUUUCACCGUGUUAGCCAGGAUGGUCUCGAUCUCCUGACCUCGUGAUCUGCCCCCCUCAGCCUCCCAAAGUGCUGGGAUUACAGGCAUGAGCCCCCACAGAAUUUUUUGUGUGUGGAUUUAAGAGGCAACAUAUAAAAAAAAAUCUCUAGCUUUAGUGUGUUGAGUUUAGAUGUGAGAUAAAUAUCAGCUCUUUUUUCAUUUCUCAUAAGCUUGACAAGUGCUUGUACCAGAUACUACAGCCAAAGCAAAGAUGAAUAUGACAUAGGCCAGGAUGGCAAAUAAGUUUUCUUUCAUGCCCAGCUCUCAUGAAGUGGUGCAGCCUCAGGGAGUACUGUGUUGAGAUGGAUUUUAAGGGUCAGCAGGGAAGAGCGUCAUAAUGGAUUAGCCAUAUCCUUCAAGGCUCAGGAGGGGGCAUUGAGGAACACAAAUGUCACAAAUUUGCCAUCACUGAAACAGCUUUGUUUUGGGAAGUCAGAGCUAAUGGAGUGUGAAAUUCGUUUAGAAGAAAUGAAUAGCUACUGAAAAUAAGGAGAGUGGUAGACACUUUUACACGUGUUAUGUCUACGCGUGUUAUGUCUUGAAUGCACUCAGCAAACUGGAGAGGAAUGAUUUACUCUUUGCAGGACAGUGCUCCAGGUGGCCUUGGACCGACCCAGUAUUUACUCCUUUUCCACUUGUAAUUCUCAAGAAUAACUGUAGAAUGUGCCAGGAAUGUAGCAUCUGAGAUAAAGGGGGAGAUGGCUGGAACAGCCUGAGUUCUGUUCCAGUCCUGCCCCGACCUCCUAAAGAAAAAGGGUGUCCUCCGCAUGUUCUCACUCGUAAGUGGGAGUUGGAGUUGAACAAUGAGAACACAUGGACACAGGGAGGAGAACAUCACACACCGGGGCCUGUUGGGGGUGGGAGACUAGGGGAGGGAUAGCAUUAGGAGAAAUACCUAACGUAAAUGAUGGGUUGAUGGGUGCAGCAAGCCACCAUGGCACGUGUAUACCUAUGUAACGAACCUGCAUGUUCUGCACAUGUACCCCAGAACUUAAAAGUGUAAAAACAAAAGAGAAAGAAACAGGGUGUCCUUCAGUGCCUUAGCCCAGCAUGUCAUGUGACCAUAGGGAAUACAACCCAGGGUGGGCUGCUUUCUCUGGUUCCUUAGCUGCGGUGCAACUACAGCACAGGCAGACGAAGCAUUAUCUGCCUUAGGAAGCUUUUCUGAGCCUUGGGGGCCCACUUACAGUGAAUCCCAGGCUUCUGUUAUCCUUGCUGCCUAUCUAUAAGUAAUAAAUCUGCUUCAUGUAACUUGUGUGUGAAUGUGUUCCGUCUCACAGCACCCAGACAAGUUGGCAACCAGUGCAUAGUGAUCUGCUUCCCAUUAUUCUCAUGCUGUAUGAAAGAAAAUGGAAUCAUAGACAAGAAGCUUCUCCUGGGUACCUUCCUGGUCAGAAGUGUCUCCAGGAGGUGUGCUUCUACUCUGAUACUUACCACCAUCAAUUAAUUUUGACUGUUCUUCAAUUUCAUACAAGUGGAAUUAUAUAGUAUUUUCACUUUUGUGUCUGGUUGCUUUGUCAACAUAAUGUCUAUGAGAUUCACCCAUGUUGUCACGUUAGUAGUUUGUUUUUUUCAAAAAUUACAUUGUAAUACUCCAUUUUAUGAAUAUACCAUGAUUUAUUUAUCCAUUCUCCUCUCGAGUGACAUUUGGGUUGUUCAGUUUUUGGUUAUUAUGAAAAAAGCUUCUAUGAACUUGCUUGUAAUGUCUUUGGGUGGGCAUGUGAACUUAUUUCUCUUUAGUAUAUACCUAGUAGUGAAAUUGCUAUAGUUUAGGUGAAUAUUUAACUUUAGUAGAUAUGACCUGCUAUGGUCUAAAUGUUGGUGUUCUACUGAAAUUCAUAUAUUGAAACUUAAUCGUCAGUGUGAUAGUAUUAAGAGGUGGGGCCUUUUUAAGUUAGUGACUUUAUAAGAUAAGGGUGGAGCCCUCACAAAUGGGAUUAAUGCCCUUAGUAAAGGGAUUUGAGGGAGUCCUUUUGCCCAUUCCACUCUGUGAGGGCACAUAGAAGGUGCCAUCUAUAAGGAACGGGCCCUUACCAGACACCAAAUCUGCUGGUGCUUUAUUUGGAUCUCUCAGCCUCCAGAGCUAGGAGCAAUACAUUUCUGUUGUUAUAAAUUAACAAAUCUAUGUUAUUUUGUUAUAACACCAGCAAGAGACUAAGACAUAGACAUUUGCUUUUUACAGGGAAUGCUACACAAGUUCAGAGACUCAGGUCCUCUUAUUCUCUGCUGUGUCCCCAGAAUCCACAGCAGUACCUGGCUCAAAGUCAGUGCUAAUAAGUCAUUUUUGAGUAAAUUAAUAUAUCUGUAUCUUUGGCAUCCUCGUUCUUGGCUUUGUAUUAGGGCUAUUGUUUCAGUGAAUAGAGAAGUCAGAACCUCUCUCCCUGCAUCCAGAAUUCCUCUUUUGAAACAAGUAUCUUAUAAUACCUCCUUAAAUAUCUUGAAGUGAAGUUCACAGAUAAUACAACCUGUUUACACAUGUAUUUUAUUUUUAAUCAAUAUAGUAUCCUAACCAUUCUACAAAGGAAAACUCUAAAGAAAAUAAUUUAUAAUAAGGUAAUGAGUGUUGCAAUAUACAAAUAACUGGGGAUUACUACACUCAAAGUCCUCAUGAAAUACACAGACAUUUGUGACUAUAUCCGUAAUCAGUACAAAUGCCAAGUGAGAGGUGAUGUUCUGCUAAUGCAUACCAUGUUUUGCACUGUUGUUGGUGAUAUGAUUUACCAAAUAGUGACCAACUCCUGGUAAAAUUGAUCAUAAAAUAAAGUACAUUCUUUCUUCAA